CUUUAAGUCACUUUUCUUUGGGUCUCAUUAGUGCCAAUGUUCAUUUGCUUUUCACUGAGGACACACACUGUCGACAUAUGAUGAGGAAGAUGUCAGGCAGGGUUAGAAGAAAUGGAGGUUUGAGUUUCACACUGCUUCUUAGAAUUAAACUGACAGGCGUAGUCUGAAACCUACAACAAGGGUGUGGCUGCAGAUGGUUAUCAAGCACCUCCAGAAGACCUGAUCCAGAGCCCAUGGCAGUCAAUGCUGGGUGAGCCUAGGAAAUCGCCUUCCUGUAGAACCAGCUCACAACAACCAGGGAAAGGAAAAUGCUCCAAGCUCGCCAAACUAGAGAAAUCAGUGGAGACCCCCUCAAGAGGGAAGCUUUUUAGACUCUUUAAACUCGUCCCCUUCCUUCUCUGCCAGA
Molecule: long non-coding RNA, 406 nt
Organism: Mauremys mutica (yellowpond turtle)
Lineage: Eukaryota; Metazoa; Chordata; Testudines; Geoemydidae
Exons: 4
Source: RefSeq, a predicted model, not a curated record